UGGGGAAUCUUGCGCAAUGGGCGGAAGCCUGACGCAGCAACGCCGCGUGAGCGAAGAAGGCCUUCGGGUUGUAAAGCUCUGUCAGGAGGGACGAAGCCACUCGGGUGAAUAGCCCAGAGGGUGACGGUACCUCCAGAGGAAGCCCCGGCUAACUACGUGCCAGCAGCCGCGGUAAUACGUAGGGGGCUAGCGUUGUCCGGAAUUAUUGGGCGUAAAGCGCGUGUAGGCGGCUUGUUAAGUCCGGUGUGAAACCUCGGUGGCUCAACCCCGAGCGUGCACUGGAAACUGGCUUGCUAGAGUCCGGAAGAGGAGAUUGGAAUUCCUGGUGUAGCGGUGAAAUGCGCAGAUAUCAGGAAGAACACCCGUGGCGAAGGCGGAUCUCUGGGACGGUACUGACGCUGAGACGCGAAAGCGUGGGGAGCAAACAGGAUUAGAUACCCUGGUAGUCCACGCCGUAAACGAUGGGCACUAGGUGUGGGAGGUGUCGACUCCUUCCGUGCCGUAGCUAACGCAUUAAGUGCCCCGCCUGGGGAGUACGGCCGCAAGGCUA
RNAcentral lists this ribosomal RNA (550 nucleotides) under uncultured bacterium. Its description in RNAcentral is "bacterial SSU rRNA". It matches the Rfam family "Bacterial small subunit ribosomal RNA", at positions 355 to 896 of the family's 1533-position model. The record is from RNAcentral.